RNAcentral lists this ribosomal RNA (484 nucleotides) under uncultured bacterium. RNAcentral's name for it is "partial 16S ribosomal RNA". It matches the Rfam family "Bacterial small subunit ribosomal RNA", at positions 30 to 507 of the family's 1533-position model. The record is from RNAcentral.
AUUGAACGCUGGCGGCAGGCCUAACACAUGCAAGUCGACCGGUUGAAGGCACCUUUCUCCUGUUUUCAGCGUCGGACGGGUGUGUAUUUCCUAUGUAUCUGCCUGGUUUUUGUUUAUAACGUCCGUUAACGGGCGCUUAUACCCCUUACGUCCUGCUUCUGACAGUUGGGGUUCUUCGGACCUCCCCCUUUCAUAUGUGCCUAGUUCGGAUUAGCUAGUUGGUGGGGUAAAGGCCUACCAAGGCGACGAUCCGUAACUGGUCUGAGAGGAUGAUCAGUCACACUGGAACUGAGACACGGACAAGAGUACUACGGGAGGGAGCAGUGGGGAAUAUUGGACAAUGGGCGAAAGGCUGAUACAGGAAUGCGGCGUGUGAGAAGAAGGUCUUCGGAGUGGAAAGCACUUUAAGUGGGGAGGAAGGGAAGUAAGUUAAAACCUUGAUGUUUUGACGUUACCAACAGAAUAAGCACCGGCUAACUUCGUG